GGGGUUGUAGUUUUAUAAAACAUUUAAUUUGCAAUUAAAAGAUACUAUAAUAAAUAAUAGUCUACCUCA
This 69-nucleotide transfer RNA is filed under the name Plautia crossota. RNAcentral describes it as "tRNA-Ala". It matches the Rfam family "tRNA". Rfam says of the family: Transfer RNA (tRNA) molecules are approximately 80 nucleotides in length. Their secondary structure includes four short double-helical elements and three loops (D, anti-codon, and T loops). The record is from RNAcentral. Lineage: Eukaryota; Metazoa; Arthropoda; Insecta; Hemiptera; Pentatomidae.